Molecule: non-coding RNA, 186 nt
Filed under: Desulfovibrio sp.
Lineage: Bacteria; Pseudomonadati; Thermodesulfobacteriota; Desulfovibrionia; Desulfovibrionales; Desulfovibrionaceae
Description: 6S RNA
Rfam family: 6S / SsrS RNA
About the family: E. coli 6S RNA was the first non coding RNA to be sequenced, but its function was unknown until recently. It consists of 184 nucleotides that fold into an extended hairpin structure with a large single-stranded internal bulge.
Source: RNAcentral
GCAACCCUGGAAUGUUUGUGAUCAUAGCUUCGGUGCCUACCUUACAAGCAUUAAGAAUAAGGGCAUGGCCGCUGUUUCCGGUGUGCAAGCCCGGCCUGGACCGGGAAGCCUAAAAGAAUUAUGCUAGCGCCCGACCUGGUGACCCAGGUUCGUACCGCAAGCGUGACACGGCAUUUCGGGGUUGCU